CCCUAGCCCAGAUAGCAGUGAAAAUCCUUUUUUGAGGCUUUUUGCCUCAAAAAAGAUUGCAACGGAUAGCUGGAAAUAGC
This 80-nucleotide small RNA is filed under the name Flavobacterium xanthum. RNAcentral's name for it is "Flavo-1 RNA". It matches the Rfam family "Flavo-1 RNA". Lineage: Bacteria; Pseudomonadati; Bacteroidota; Flavobacteriia; Flavobacteriales; Flavobacteriaceae. The record is from RNAcentral.